UACGGAGGGUGCAAGCGUUGUUCGGAAUUACUGGGCUUAAAGCGCGUGUAGGCGGGAUUCCAAGUGUCGUGUGAAAGCCCCGGGCUCAACCCGGGAACUGCGCGGCAAACUGGUUUUCUUGAGGCAAGUAGAGGUGACUGGAACGACCGGUGGAGCGGUGAAAUGCGUAGAUAUCGGUUGGAACGCCGGAGGCGAAAGCGGGUCACUGGGCUUGUCCUGACGCUAAGACGCGAAAGCGUGGGGAGCAAACAGG
Molecule: ribosomal RNA, 253 nt
Filed under: uncultured bacterium
Lineage: Bacteria
Description: partial 16S ribosomal RNA
Rfam family: Bacterial small subunit ribosomal RNA
Source: RNAcentral